AUAACGGUCCUAAGGUAGCGAAAUUCCUUGUCAGGUAAGUUCUGACCCGCACGAAUGGCGUAAUGAUCUGGGCACUGUCUCGACAGCCCACCCGGCGAAAUUGUAGUACUGGUGAAGAUGCCAGUUACCCGCAACUAGACGGAAAGACCCCAUGGAGCUUUACUGCAGUUUAAUACUGGGAAUCGGUAAUUCAUGUACAGGAUAGGUGGGAGACUGAGAAGCAUGGCCGUCAGGUCGUGUGGAGUCACCGGUGGGAUACCACUCUUGGAUUGCUGGUUUCCUAACCUGCGGCCCUGAAUCGGGUCGGGGGACACUGUUAGACGGGCAGUUUGACUGGGGCGGUCGCCUCCAAAAGAGUAACGGAGGCGCUCAAAGGUUCGUUCAGCACGGACGGAAAUCGUGCAUUGAGUGUAAACGCAUAAACGAGCCUAACUGCGAGACCGACGGGUCGAGCAGUAACGAAAGUUGGAGUUAGUGAUCCGGUGGUAUGUGAGUGGAAAUGCCAUCGCUCAACGGAUAAAAGUUACCCUGGGGAUAACAGGCUGAUCUCCCCCAAGAGUCCACAUCGACGGGGAGGUUUGGCACCUCGAUGUCGGCUCAUCGCAUCCUGGGGCUGAAUUCGGUCCCAAGGGUUUGGCUGUUCGCCAAUUAAAGCGGCACGCGAGCUGGGUUCAGAACGUCGUGAGACAGUUCGGUCCCUAUCUGUUGCGGGCGUAAGAGAUUUGAAGGGAGCUGUCCUUAGUACGAGAGGACCGGGAUGGACGUACCUCUGGUGCACCAGUUGUCCUGCCAAGGGCAUAGCUGGGUAGCUAUGUACGGACGAGAUAAACGCUGAAAGCAUCUAAGCGUGAAACUCCCCCUAAGAUGAGAUCUCUCAUUCGAAAGAAGUAAGGACCCAGAGAGACGAUCUGGUUGAUAGGCGCGAGGUGGAAGUGCAGUAAUGUAUGGAGCUGACGCGUACUAAUAGUCCGAGGGCUUGACCUA
RNAcentral lists this ribosomal RNA (984 nucleotides) under human gut metagenome. RNAcentral describes it as "bacterial LSU rRNA". It matches the Rfam family "Bacterial large subunit ribosomal RNA", at positions 1942 to 2925 of the family's 2925-position model. The record is from RNAcentral.